Molecule: ribosomal RNA, 433 nt
Filed under: uncultured bacterium
Lineage: Bacteria
Description: partial 16S ribosomal RNA
Rfam family: Bacterial small subunit ribosomal RNA
Source: RNAcentral
CCCUCCCUCUGGCGGCAGGCCUAACACAUGCAAGUCGAGCGAGGACUUCGAUCUUAGCGGCGGACGGGUGAGUAACGCGUGGGAACGUGCCCUUUGCUUCGGAAUAGCCCUGGGAAACUGGUAGUAAUACCGGAUGAACCCUUUGGGGGAAAGAUUUAUCGGCAGAGGAUCGUCCCGCGUUGUAUUAUGUAGUUGGUGCGGUAAUGGCCUACCAAGCUGACAAUCCAUAGCUGGUUUGAGAGGAUGAUCAGCCACACUGGGACUGGGAAACGGCCCAGAAUACUACGGGAGGCAGCAGUGGGGAAUCUAAGACAAUGGGGGGAGUCAUGAUCGAGCCAUGCCGCGUGAGCGAUGAAGGCUUGAGGGUUGUAAAGCUCUUUAAGCUGGGAAUAUAAUGACGGUACCAGCAGAAGAAGCCCCGGCUAACUCCGUG